GAUGGUUGAAAAACAUUUGGGUGU
RNAcentral lists this non-coding RNA (24 nucleotides) under Arabidopsis thaliana (thale cress). The record is from RNAcentral. Lineage: Eukaryota; Viridiplantae; Streptophyta; Magnoliopsida; Brassicales; Brassicaceae.